UGGUGGUUGCCUUGUCAGGUUGAUUCCGGUAACGAACGAGACCUCAGCCUGCUAAAUAGUCACUUCCGCUUUCUGCGGCUGGCAGACUUCUUAGAGGGACUAUUGGCGUCUAGCUAAUGGAAGUAUGAGGCAAUAACA
This 138-nucleotide ribosomal RNA is filed under the name uncultured eukaryote. RNAcentral's name for it is "partial 18S ribosomal RNA". It matches the Rfam family "Eukaryotic small subunit ribosomal RNA", at positions 1299 to 1458 of the family's 1831-position model. The record is from RNAcentral.